UUUUCUGCCCCGAAUACAUUAGCAUGGGAUAAUGGAAUAGGACCCUGUCCUCCUAUUUUCAGUUGGUUUUGGCCGCGCGAGGACUAGGGUAUUGAUUAAUAGGGAUAGUUGGGGGCAUUAAUAUUUACUUGUCACACGUGAAUUUCUUGGAUUUAUAAAAAAUUAACUUCUGCGAAAGCCUCUGCCAAAGAUGUUUUCUUUAAUCACCAACGAAUUUUACGGGAACGAAUACAAUCAAAUACCCCCCAAGUCCCCACCAUAAACGAUGCCCACCACCGAUUAGGACACAUUGAAUACAAAACACCACCAUCGGGGCGGUCUUCCUUGGCCCCUGUCCCUUUCAUCGGGGGCAUGAAACUGGGACGGUCUGGCCCGGAGCCCCCGGUUAUUGACUCCCUAAAAAUUUGGGAAAA
Molecule: ribosomal RNA, 413 nt
Filed under: Acanthamoeba genotype T4
Lineage: Eukaryota; Discosea; Longamoebia; Acanthamoebidae
Description: SSU rRNA
Rfam family: Eukaryotic small subunit ribosomal RNA
Source: RNAcentral